RNAcentral lists this Y RNA (112 nucleotides) under Microcebus murinus (gray mouse lemur). RNAcentral describes it as "Y RNA (ENSMICG00000022117.3)". It matches the Rfam family "Y RNA". From Rfam's summary of the family: Y RNAs are components of the Ro ribonucleoprotein particle (Ro RNP), in association with Ro60 and La proteins. The Y RNAs and Ro60 and La proteins are well conserved, but the function of the Ro RNP is not known. In humans the RNA component can be one of four small RNAs -- hY1, hY3, hY4 and hY5. Lineage: Eukaryota; Metazoa; Chordata; Mammalia; Primates; Cheirogaleidae. The record is from RNAcentral.
CGCUGAUCAGAAGGUAUGAGUCAUCUCAGUUGAUUGUUCACAGUCAGCUAUAGCUCAAACUCCCUGUUGUACUCUGUCCCUCAUUCUCACUGCUGUAUUUGACUAGUCUUUU